GAACGGGGUUUCGCAAGAGACCUAGUGGCAAACGGGUGAGUAACACGUGGGAAUCUGCCCAAGAGUGGGGAACAACUCCUCGAAAGAGGAGCUAAUACCGCAUACGGUCGCAAGACUAAAGCCUUCGGGCGCUUUUGGAGGAGCCUGCGGCUGAUUAGCUAGUUGGUGGGGUAACGGCCUACCAAGGCGGUGAUCAGUAGCUGGUCUGAGAGGAUGGACAGCCACACUGGGACUGAGAUACGGCCCAGACUCCUACGGGAGGCAGCAGCGAGGAAUUUUCCGCAAUGGGGGAAACCCUGACGGAGCAACGCCGCGUGAACGAAGAAGUCUUUCGGGAUGUAAAGUUCUUUUCUGUGGGAAGAAUGAAGGACGGUACCACAGGAAUAAGCAUCGGCUAACUACGUG
This 405-nucleotide ribosomal RNA is filed under the name uncultured bacterium. RNAcentral describes it as "bacterial SSU rRNA". It matches the Rfam family "Bacterial small subunit ribosomal RNA", at positions 64 to 507 of the family's 1533-position model. The record is from RNAcentral.